RNAcentral lists this unclassified non-coding RNA (240 nucleotides) under Glomus sp. RNAcentral's name for it is "partial contains 5.8S ribosomal RNA and internal transcribed spacer 2". The stretch from base 1 to 65 matches the Rfam family "5.8S ribosomal RNA", at positions 84 to 154 of the family's 154-position model. Lineage: Eukaryota; Fungi; Glomeromycota; Glomeromycetes; Glomerales; Glomeraceae. The record is from RNAcentral.
GUGAAUCAUCAAAUCUUUGAACGCAAAUUGCACUCUCCUCGGAGAGUAUGCCUGUUUGAGGGUCAGCCUAUAAAAAUCGACAGCGUUGCUUUUUCGCGGUUGCGUUCGUCGGAAAUUGGGUCAUCUUAAAUCCUUUUGAUUUAAUCGACUGAUUAUUUUCUUUUGGUUCCAUGAACGUUUCUUAGAUCUAUUUUUUUACACGCUUACGUUAUCGAUUUUGACUAGUCGUGACCUUCAUAU